Non-coding RNA from Cariama cristata (Red-legged seriema), 45 nucleotides. NCBI's taxonomy places the organism in Eukaryota, Metazoa, Chordata, Aves, Cariamiformes, Cariamidae. The record is from Rfam.
CAAAAGGCUCCUUUAGGGGCCACUGAUUAUGUCAAAAACCUAAAG